This 387-nucleotide ribosomal RNA is filed under the name Debaryomyces sp. RNAcentral describes it as "partial small subunit ribosomal RNA". It matches the Rfam family "Eukaryotic small subunit ribosomal RNA", at positions 582 to 975 of the family's 1831-position model. Lineage: Eukaryota; Fungi; Ascomycota; Pichiomycetes; Serinales; Debaryomycetaceae. The record is from RNAcentral.
AUUCCAGCUCCAAUAGCGUAUAUUAAAGUUGUUGCAGUUAAAAAGCUCGUAGUUGAACCUUGGGCUUGGUUGGCCGGUCCGCCUUUUUGGCGAGUACUGGACCCAACCGAGCCUUUCCUUCUGGCUAACCUUUCGCCCUUGUGGUGUUUGGCGAACCAGGACUUUUACUUUGAAAAAAUUAGAGUGUUCAAAGCAGGCCUUUGCUCGAAUAUAUUAGCAUGGAAUAAUAGAAUAGGACGUUAUGGUUCUAUUUUGUUGGUUUCUAGGACCAUCGUAAUGAUUAAUAGGGACGGUCGGGGGCAUCAGUAUUCAGUUGUCAGAGGUGAAAUUCUUGGAUUACCUGAAGACUAACUACUGCGAAAGCAUUUGCCAAGGACGUUUUCAUCA